RNAcentral lists this ribosomal RNA (372 nucleotides) under uncultured eukaryote. RNAcentral describes it as "SSU rRNA". It matches the Rfam family "Eukaryotic small subunit ribosomal RNA", at positions 587 to 972 of the family's 1831-position model. The record is from RNAcentral.
AGCUCCAAUAGCGUAUAUUAAAGUUGUUGCAGUUAAAAAGCUCGUAGUUGGAUUUCUGGUAAGGGAGAAGAGAGCACUGUGUGACUACUCGAACCCUUGCCAUCCUUCUGUUAACCGUCAGGGACGUCAAAAGCCUUGGCGGAGCUCAGAUAUUUUACCUUGAGAAAAUUAGAGUGUUUCAGGCAGGCUAAGUGCCGGGAUACAUUAGCAUGGAAUAAUGGAACAGGACUUUAGCCUCUUCUGUUGGUCUGAGGGGUUGAAGUAAUGAUUAAUAGGGAUAGUUGGGGGCAUUAGUACUUAACUGUCAGAGGUGAAAUUCUCGGAUUUGUUAAAGACUAACUUAUGCGAAAGCAUUUGCCAAGGAUGUUUUCA